ACAAAAAAAAAAAAAAAAAAGUUGAAAAAGGUGCCGACCGACAACUAGGAUUAAGAGGUGAUACUGAUAAUGAGAAUUGAGACGCUUAAAAGAGCAGAGGACAACACAUACUGCUCCGCCAGCUAAUACAUGAUGAACAACGACAAGGGAAAAAUUAUCAUAGUCACCCCUCGUAAUAUUAUUAUUUGAUGUACAAAAGUAAAAAAUCUAUUUGUGGGGUUUAAGCGGUUGGUGGCUUUUUUACAGCGGAGACGCCAAGUGACUGAGAGAGAGGGAAAGCAAAGUAGACAACAGACAGGCGGUGAUGGUAAGCACGCAGCAGAUUAAAAACGACUUUAUACCAAACUCAACCAGACCAAAGGGACCUGCAUCCCAUCAAUUGACAUCAUUUGCCAUCCACCACCUUCUAUUCUCUCUAUCUCAACACCUUAUGCCUUCAUCACUUGUUUGGCAGAUUAGAAAAUCGACAAAUAAAGACAUGAAAGAUGCCUAUUUUAUAUAUAUAUACACACUUAGCCCUUAACUCGUAAUCUCACUGAAGCACCUCUAAUAGUAUUCAAGGUUUGUAAGUUUGAAGUCAAUUCUGAUACUACUAGAGAACUAACCAUGCAAAUUGGGGAAAGGGUCCGCAUUCUUCAAAUAUUAACAUCCAUCAAAUCUCACAUAUUCAUUUAGUAGAAUAAAAACCAUGCAAAUCAAAAAAAUAUGCUCCAAGUAGUAGUGGUAAUAGUCGUACCAUACUCUAUCUUCAGUUCUUCACUAGUUUAAACAUUGAUAAUAAGUAACAAAAUUUGGCUGUCAUCCAAACAAAACAUAGCGAGAAAAAACCCAAAUUUUCAUCAUAUCAGCCGAAAAAAAAAACCACUAAAGGUGAACGAGUAUUCUUUCUCUAGAAAACCAUGAUGAUAACAAACCCCAAAAACUAGUUAAAUUCAUCAUGCAUCUAACAAGUCAGUCUCUCUUGCUCACUAGCUUCCCCUAAUUGCAGUAGACUCCACACUCUCCCCAAACUUAAUGAACCACACUGUACAAAACAUCAAGAACAAAUACCUAUAUACAAAAUCAACAACAACCAAACACAGUCUAAUUACUAAUUUUACCUCUUAGAAAAAAAUUAGUAAAGGCACUUCUUUAAGGACUCGAAGAGGAAGCCUCCUGUCUUGGUUCUCUCAAGUACCCAAGAAGGGUCUCAGCCUGCCACAAUAACAUUCAAACACCAUGAUAAGCAACAAGAAAUAGCUCUUCUUUAUGAGAAAAUGCCAACUUAAACAAGGUCGCUAAAUAACCCAAAUAACUAAAGACUAAACAAUUAAAACUACAACUCAAACACAGUUCAAGAAUUUCAAAUUAAUGGUAUUUAAAUUUGAUAUUGCGCUACAAAUCGCAUUCUUUCAAGAAUAUAAUAGAAUCAAGUAGUUCUUGAUAAUGAGAUGUGAUGUACAAACCUUAUGCUUAGCACGAACACUCCCAGUCUGUGAAAGAGCAACAAGAGGAGGAAUCCCACCUUCCCUCACAAGCAACCCACGAUUCCUCACACUAUCAGCACACAAUUGCAACAGUGUAAGCACCGCAAAUUCCUUUCCUUUAACAGACCCAUCUUCUAUGGCUUCCACAAGCGCUGCAAUCCCUGCUUCCUCCACAAUAGCCUCUCUCCCUUCCUCAAUUGCUGCCAAGCUACUCAGCACCACCAUCGCCUUCUCAGCCAUCCCCACACCCUGCUCCGCCACCAUCCCCACCAGCGGCUUUACAGCCCCAGCACUCACAGCUCUCUCCUUAUUGUGUUUAAUGGAGCAAAGUUUGUACAGGGUAGUUAAAGCAUCCUUCUUUCCUCUAGUGGAUCCAUUAAUUAACAGAGAAACCAAUGGCGGUAUCGCCCCACAUGCACCAAUCGAGCUCUUGUUCUCUUCAACCAAUGCGAGACUAAGCAAAGCACAAGCUGCGUUUUGCUUCGAAGUUUCGGUUCCUGUUUUGAGUACAUAAACCAAAGAUUUUAUAGCUCCAUUGUUCGUAAUCAAACACUUGUUUUCUUCAAGGAGGGAGAGAUUCAACAGAGCUGUUACUGCAUGUUCCUGCGUCCACGGAUCGCUGCAUCGGAGAAGCGGAAUUAGGGCCGGAAUAGCACCCGAUUCGCCUAUUAAUGCCCGGUUAUCAGACCGGUUCUUCGCCAAAAGUCGAAGUUUCGCUGCCGCCGAUCUCUUCACAGCAACCGACGGCGAUUGUAGCCCAUCCACGCAGAUCUUGACUGUCGGUUGGAGAUCUUCCGGCGAAAUACUCUCGAUUAUUUCCGUCGAGAAGUUCUCCCUCUGUAGAAACCCUAAACAAGGCUCAGGCUCAGGCUCCGCAGAUUCACAGCCAUCGUUUUUAGGUGCGUUUUCAGGGGAUGGUAAACUAGCAAGACGCUGCAAUUCCCCCGAGAUAUCACUGCUACAAGCCGAGAAAUCGCUGAAAGCUUGAGAGAUAUCAAGGAAUUCCUCGUCGUUAUUGGAAGAAGCUUUGCCACACUUGUCAUUACUAUUGUUAUUCCGAGACGCAAGCUCCCCAAGACGCAUGUCGAUGACAGAUUCAGUUAAAUUUUCCGAUACAUAAGCCGAGUUGUCGGUGGCAGUAGUAAAAGAACAGCAGCUGCCGUCAUUCUGGUAGAGAUUGGAGCGUAUCGUGCGCAUGGAACGGCCGACAUGCCGGCUGAUUUUGGUAGCGGAAGCAGAGGAUGGGUUAUAAAAAUUAUUGUUUCGGGUUAAAGGGAAGCGAUUUGAACUGGAAUGCGAAUCUUCCAAAGAAACCAUUUUUCGCAAACUAAAUUUGGUUUUGGAGAAAACGAAACCGUUUUCUGAAACUGGUUCUCGGCGAUUCGAUUUCAAGAGAAUUUCAUGGUUUGUGCAUGAAAGAGAGGGAGAAAGGGAGACACAGGGCGUUGCAGAAGAAGACGAGAGACGGUUUUAUGGCCAAUGGAUCGGCUGGCAUUGCUGGCCUGGUGG
Molecule: unclassified non-coding RNA, 2975 nt
Filed under: Hevea brasiliensis (rubber tree)
Lineage: Eukaryota; Viridiplantae; Streptophyta; Magnoliopsida; Malpighiales; Euphorbiaceae
Source: RNAcentral